RNAcentral lists this ribosomal RNA (465 nucleotides) under uncultured bacterium. RNAcentral describes it as "bacterial SSU rRNA". It matches the Rfam family "Bacterial small subunit ribosomal RNA", at positions 330 to 792 of the family's 1533-position model. The record is from RNAcentral.
GCCAGACUCCUACGGGAGGCAGCAGUGAGGAAUAUUGGUCAAUGGCCGAGAGGCUGAACCAGCCAAGUCGCGUGAGGGAAGACGGCCCUACGGGUUGUAAACCUCUUUUGUCGGGGAGCAAAGCGAACCACGUGUGGUUCAUUGAGAGUACCCGAAGAAAAAGCAUCGGCUAACUCCGUGCCAGCAGCCGCGGUAAUACGGAGGAUGCGAGCGUUAUCCGGAUUUAUUGGGUUUAAAGGGAGCGUAGGCCGGUCUUUAAGCGUGCGGUGAAAUUGUGUGGCUCAACCAUGAGAGUGCGGCGCGAACUGGGGACCUUGAGUGCGCGGAAGGCAGGCGGAAUUCGUGGUGUAGCGGUGAAAUGCCUAGAUAUCACGAAGAACCCCGAUUGCGAAGGCAGCCUGCCGCAGCGUUACUGACGCUGAAGCUCGAAAGCGCGGGUAUCGAACAGGAUUAGAUACCCGGGUA